AUUGAACGCUGGCGGCAUGCCUUACACAUGCAAGUCGAACGGCAGCACGGGAGCAAUCCUGGUGGCGAGUGGCGAACGGGUGAGUAAUGUAUCGGAACGUACCUUUCAGUGGGGAUAACGUAGCGAAAGUUACGCUAAUACCGCAUAUUCUGUGAGCAGGAAAGCAGGGGAUCGCAAGACCUUGCGCUGAUUGAGCGGCCGAUAUCAGAUUAGCUAGUUGGUGAGGUAAAGGCUCACCAAGGCGACGAUCUGUAGCGGGUCUGAGAGGAUGAUCCGCCACACUGGAACUGAGACACGGUCCAGACUCCUACGGGAGGCAGCAGUGGGGAAUUUUGGACAAUGGGCGCAAGCCUGAUCCAGCCAUGCCGCGUGAGUGAAGAAGGCCUUCGGGUUGUAAAGCUCUUUCGGCCGGGAAGAAAUCGCACAGGUUAAUACCCUGUGUGGAUGACGGUACCGGAAUAAGAAGCACCGGCUAACUACGUG
RNAcentral lists this ribosomal RNA (483 nucleotides) under uncultured bacterium. Its description in RNAcentral is "bacterial SSU rRNA". It matches the Rfam family "Bacterial small subunit ribosomal RNA", at positions 30 to 507 of the family's 1533-position model. The record is from RNAcentral.